GGUUUCCGUAGGUGAACCUGCGGAAGGAUCAUUACUGAUUUGCUUAAUUGCACCACAUGUGUUUUUCUUUGAAACAAACUUGCUUUGGCGGUGGGCCCAGCCUGCCGCCAGAGGUCUAAACUUACAACCAAUUUUUUAUCAACUUGUCACACCAGAUUAUUACUAAUAGUCAAAACUUUCAACAACGGAUCUCUUGGUUCUCGCAUCGAUGAAGAACGCAGCGAAAUGCGAUACGUAAUAUGAAUUGCAGAUAUUCGUGAAUCAUCGAAUCUUUGAACGCACAUUGCGCCCUCUGGUAUUCCGGAGGGCAUGCCUGUUUGAGCGUCGUUUCUCCCUCAAACCGCUGGGUUUGGUGUUGAGCAAUACGACUUGGGUUUGCUUGAAAGACGGUAGUGGUAAGGCGGGAUCGCUUUGACAAUGGCUUAGGUCUAACCAAAAACAUUGCUUGCGGCGGUAACGUCUACCACGUAUAUCUUCAAACUUUGACCUCAAAUCA
This 496-nucleotide ribosomal RNA is filed under the name Candida albicans. RNAcentral's name for it is "eukaryotic LSU rRNA". The stretch from base 174 to 327 matches the Rfam family "5.8S ribosomal RNA". Lineage: Eukaryota; Fungi; Ascomycota; Pichiomycetes; Serinales; Debaryomycetaceae. The record is from RNAcentral.